GAUGAACGUUGGCGGCGUGCCUAAUACAUGCAAGUCGAGCGAACAGACGAGGAGCUUGCUCCUCUGACGUUAGCGGCGGACGGGUGAGUAACACGUGGAUAACCUACCUAUAAGACUGGGAUAACUUCGGGAAACCGGAGCUAAUACCGGAUAAUAUAUUGAACCGCAUGGUUCAAUAGUGAAAGACGGUUUUGCUGUCACUUAUAGAUGGAUCCGCGCCGCAUCAGCUAGUUGGUAAGGUAACGGCUUACCAAGGCAACGAUGCGUAGCCGACCUGAGAGGGUGUUCGGCCACACUGGAACUGAGACACGGUCCAGACUCCUACGGGAGGCAGCAGUAGGGAAUCUUCCGCAAUGGGCGAAAGCUUGACGGAGCAACGCCGCGUGAGUGAUGAAGGUCUUCGGAUCGUAAAACUCUGUUAUUAGGGAAGAACAAAUGUGUAAGUAACUAUGCACGUCUUGACGGUACCUAAUCAGAAAGCCACGGCUCACUACGUG
Molecule: ribosomal RNA, 497 nt
Filed under: uncultured bacterium
Lineage: Bacteria
Description: partial 16S ribosomal RNA
Rfam family: Bacterial small subunit ribosomal RNA
Source: RNAcentral